AGAAUCAACGCUGGCGGCGUGCCUAACACAUGCAAGUCGCACGAGAAAGCGGGAGCAAUCCUGUGAGUAAAGUGGCGUACGGGUGAGUAACACGUGAAUCAUCUACCUUCGAGUGCGGAAUAACUGAGAGAAAUCUUAGCUAAUACCGCAUAAUACCCACGGGUCAAAGCAGCAAUGCGCUUGAAGAGGAGUUCGCGGCAGAUUAGUUAGUUGGCGGGGUAAUGGCCCACCAAGACGAUGAUCUGUAUCCGGCCUGAGAGGGCGCACGGACACACUGGAACUGAAACACGGUCCAGACUCCUACGGGAGGCAGCAGUGGGGAAUUUUGCGCAAUGGGGGAAACCCUGACGCAGCAACGCCGCGUGGAGGAUGAAAUCCCUUGGGAUGUAAACUCCUUUCGAUAGGGAAGAUAAUGACGGUACCUGUAGAAGAAGCCCGGCUAACUUCGUGCCAGCAGCCGCGGUAA
RNAcentral lists this ribosomal RNA (466 nucleotides) under uncultured bacterium. RNAcentral describes it as "SSU rRNA". It matches the Rfam family "Bacterial small subunit ribosomal RNA", at positions 26 to 523 of the family's 1533-position model. The record is from RNAcentral.